Molecule: ribosomal RNA, 526 nt
Filed under: uncultured bacterium
Lineage: Bacteria
Description: bacterial SSU rRNA
Rfam family: Bacterial small subunit ribosomal RNA
Source: RNAcentral
ACAUCCAGAGAACUUAGCAGAGAUUGCUUUUGGUGCCUUCGGGAACUCUGAGACAGGUGCUGCAUGGCUGUCGUCAGCUCGUGUUGUGAAAUGUUGGGUUAAGUCCCGCAACGAGCGCAACCCUUAUCCUUUGUUGCCAGCGGUUCGGCCGGGAACUCAAAGGAGACUGCCGGUGAUAACCGGAGGAAGGUGGGGAUGACGUCAAGUCAUCAUGGCCCUUACGGCCAGGGCUACACACGUGCUACAAUGGCGCAUACAAAGAGAAGCGACCUCGCGAGAGCAAGCGGACCUCAUAAAGUGCGUCGUAGUCCGGAUUGGAGUCUGCAACUCGACUCCAUGAAGUCGGAAUCGCUAGUAAUCGUAGAUCAGAAUGCUACGGUGAAUACGUUCCCGGGCCUUGUACACACCGCCCGUCACACCAUGGGAGUGGGUUGCAAAAGAAGUAGGUAGCUUAACCUUCGGGAGGGCGCUUACCACUUUGUGAUUCAUGACUGGGGUGAAGUCGUAACAAGGUAGGCGUAGCGAG